GCCAGAUUGCCCGAGCGGCCAAAGGGAACGGACUGUAAAUCCGUCGGCUUUUGCCUUCGAUGGUUCGAAUCCAUCAUCUGGCAC
This 84-nucleotide transfer RNA is filed under the name Clostridium paraputrificum. RNAcentral describes it as "tRNA-Tyr(gta)". It matches the Rfam family "tRNA". Rfam says of the family: Transfer RNA (tRNA) molecules are approximately 80 nucleotides in length. Their secondary structure includes four short double-helical elements and three loops (D, anti-codon, and T loops). Further hydrogen bonds mediate the characteristic L-shaped molecular structure. tRNAs have two regions of fundamental functional importance: the anti-codon, which is responsible for specific mRNA codon recognition, and the 3' end, to which the tRNAs corresponding amino acid is attached (by aminoacyl-tRNA synthetases). tRNAs cope with the degeneracy of the genetic code in two manners: having more than one tRNA (with a specific anti-codon) for a particular amino acid; and 'wobble' base-pairing, i.e. permitting non-standard base-pairing at the 3rd anti-codon position. The record is from RNAcentral. Lineage: Bacteria; Bacillati; Bacillota; Clostridia; Eubacteriales; Clostridiaceae.